AUACUUACCGGGCAGAGAAGAUACUAUGAUCAGAAAGGGAGUUUCCUUAGGGGGAGGCUCAGCUAUUGCACUUUGGCUGUGUUGUUCUCUGCGAAUUCCCCAAACGUGGGAAUCUCGACUGCAUAAUUUCUUGUAGUAGUAAUUUCGCACUUUCUC
This is a small nuclear RNA of Scleropages formosus (Asian bonytongue), 156 nucleotides long. Its record names the gene U1. It matches the Rfam family "U1 spliceosomal RNA". From Rfam's summary of the family: U1 is a small nuclear RNA (snRNA) component of the spliceosome (involved in pre-mRNA splicing). Its 5' end forms complementary base pairs with the 5' splice junction, thus defining the 5' donor site of an intron. There are significant differences in sequence and secondary structure between metazoan and yeast U1 snRNAs, the latter being much longer (568 nucleotides as compared to 164 nucleotides in human). NCBI's taxonomy places the organism in Eukaryota, Metazoa, Chordata, Actinopteri, Osteoglossiformes, Osteoglossidae. The record is from Ensembl.